Molecule: ribosomal RNA, 253 nt
Filed under: uncultured bacterium
Lineage: Bacteria
Description: partial 16S ribosomal RNA
Rfam family: Bacterial small subunit ribosomal RNA
Source: RNAcentral
UACAAAGGGGGCUAGCGUUGCUCGGAAUCACUGGGCGUAAAGGGUGCGUAGGUGGGUCUUUAAGUCAGGGGUGAAAUCCUGGAGCUCAACUCCAGAACUGCCUUUGAUACUGAGGAUCUUGAGUUCGGGAGAGGUGAGUGGAACUGCGAGUGUAGAGGUGAAAUUCGUAGAUAUUCGCAAGAACACCAGUGGCGAAGGCGGCUCACUGGCCCGAUACUGACGCUGAGGCACGAAAGCGUGGGGAGCAAACAGG